UAGAAAACUCAUUUUCCAUCUCCCAGACCCAAACCUAGUUAGCUGCACCUCUUCUUCGAUGCUCUUCCACCUUCGUUGGUCUUCCAUAUCGGUCUACAAACCAACAACCAAAGCCGGGUCAAGUCAAGUUCUUCAAGGAAAUAGAAAUUGAAGUGUAGAGAAGACAGUACGAAGAGAGAGAAAGUAGAUCUGGUUUCUCAAUUCUCCAUCUUCUACCUCCGAGCAUCAUCCGGCGACAUCGCCACUACCAAUGGACUCUUCGGCCUCCAAUUAGUUGACCCAGGCUGCGUCAUCCAACGAUAUCGAAAAUCAGCACCACAUGCUUCCGAAUGCGAGUCCGGAUCUACACCCAACAGAGAUCACAGAAUCGGGAGCGAUUUGGGGAUUUAGGGUUUCAAAAUCGAAAGAGUCAUCGUUUUCGAAAUGGCGUUGGGCAAGGUGAAGGAGCUCGUCUCGUCCAAUCCGGUAGUCAUCUUCAGCAACAAGCUUUGUCCUCACUGUGUUUGCGUGAAGCAGCUCUUCGUUCUAAAAUUGGGAGUCCAGUACAAGGCCAUUGAAUUGGACCAAGAGAUGUCUGUCUAUAUGCUUCAAACUAAGUUGACAAAACAUGUUUGUGGCAUAUGCAAGAAGUGGAAUCAGCCUGACAGUGGAAGUUGGGUUGUUGAAGGCCCUUGUGACUCUGUGCCUAUUCCUGACGGGGCAGCUCUAUCAGCAUUUUAGAACUUCGAAAACGUCAGAAAUUUCCUUGUGGCUGUGGAGGAAUUGGGGCUUCCAACCUUUGAAGCCUCUGAUUUGGAACAGGGAACCAAAUUUUGAGUCCUUGUAACCUAAUAAGGACGCUUAAAAUUUUGAACAGCUCGGCCCUUGGCUAUAAUGAGAAAUGUUUAGAAGCCUUCUCUCCUUUUGAGACGUGAACAAAAUAAACAAAGAAAACAGAAGAACCUCUUCUGCUCUCCACUUCGUCUUCUCCGGUUCUCUCUCUCGAUCGAGUGAGAGCUAUAUUCAUGAAAUCACCUCUGAAUCCUAGAUCAGCGACCAUUCAACAUCGAACCCCUUGUCAUCUCCGUGUAUGAAUAAAAUCUUCUCUUUUGCACACACAUGCUACCAAAUCCCUUGUUUGUUUCUGGUUUCAGCUAGAGCAAAUGGAGCAGCAACUUGAGAAAUUUCUUGAUUUUGUACAGUUGAGGGCUGCAGAGAGAAUCAAGAAGAGUAGUACUUGGUGGAGAGAUGGAUUCGGCCUUGGAAACAGAGGGAUCAAAUGUAUAUGAUAGAUGGUGAGAAGGGAGUGAGUCAUGGGAAUAAGCACAAGAUUCUUAGAGUUUCAGUUAGUAAAAUCAUUAUCAUUUCUGCAACUCUUAGAGUCUGCUUAAAGAAGCUUUCUGGAUAAAAUGGUGAAGCUGUUUAUCUGCGCAGAUAUCCGUAAUUUCCUUAAUGUGGCUAGUGGAUGAUGAUGUUGUACAAGAUUAUGAUUACCAAUGUUGUUUGGUUCUUUUAUACUGAAAAAUGGUUUCAACAAUGAAGAAGUCGAUCUUUGAUGAACAAACUAAGAAGGCUUUAAGGAAAUUGCAAAAGAAUGCUCAAAAGAAGAGAAGGCAUCAUGACGUGGUUCGAGCUGAAUGGGCAAAUCAUGUUAUACAGUUCUAACUUUGGUUCUGUUUAAGUUGCUCUGUCUAUGACUGGACCCGCCCCAGGAUUUCACCCUGAAAUCCGAAGUGGCCCUGCGAGGUCCACCUUAGAAGAAAUUCUUCCAAAAAUUUGGCAGAACUUCCC
Long non-coding RNA from Rosa chinensis, 1770 nucleotides. RefSeq lists it as uncharacterized. The transcript has 13 exons. NCBI's taxonomy places the organism in Eukaryota, Viridiplantae, Streptophyta, Magnoliopsida, Rosales, Rosaceae. The record is from RefSeq and is a predicted model, not a curated record.